UAUGGCUCAGAUUGAACGCUGGCGGCAGGCCUAACACAUGCAAGUCGAGCGGAUGAAAGGAGCUUGCUCCUGAAUUCAGCGGCGGACGGGUGAGUAAUGCCUAGGAAUCUGCCUGGUAGUGGGGGACAACGUUUCGAAAGGAACGCUAAUACCGCAUACGUCCUACGGGAGAAAGCAGGGGACCUUCGGGCCUUGCGCUAUCAGAUGAGCCUAGGUCGGAUUAGCUAGUUGGUGAGGUAAUGGCUCACCAAGGCGACGAUCCGUAACUGGUCUGAGAGGAUGAUCAGUCACACUGGAACUGAGACACGGUCCAGACUCCUACGGGAGGCAGCAGUGGGGAAUAUUGGACAAUGGGCGAAAGCCUGAUCCAGCCAUGCCGCGUGUGUGAAGAAGGUCUUCGGAUUGUAAAGCACUUUAAGUUGGGAGGAAGGGUUGUAGAUUAAUACUCUGCAAUUUUGACGUUACCGACAGAAUAAGCACCGGCUAACUCUGUGCCAGCAGCCGCGGUAAUACAGAGGGUGCAAGCGUUAAUCGGAAUUACUGGGCGUAAAGCGCGCGUAGGUGGUUUGUUAAGUUGGAUGUGAAAUCCCCGGGCUCAACCUGGGAACUGCAUCCAAAACUGGCAAGCUAGAGUAUGGUAGAGGGUGGUGGAAUUUCCUGUGUAGCGGUGAAAUGCGUAGAUAUAGGAAGGAACACCAGUGGCGAAGGCGACCACCUGGACUGAUACUGAC
Molecule: ribosomal RNA, 731 nt
Filed under: Pseudomonas sp.
Lineage: Bacteria; Pseudomonadati; Pseudomonadota; Gammaproteobacteria; Pseudomonadales; Pseudomonadaceae
Description: bacterial SSU rRNA
Rfam family: Bacterial small subunit ribosomal RNA
Source: RNAcentral